UACGUACCUAUCUUUU
This 16-nucleotide small RNA is filed under the name Arabidopsis thaliana (thale cress). RNAcentral's name for it is "ATSL185420". The record is from RNAcentral. Lineage: Eukaryota; Viridiplantae; Streptophyta; Magnoliopsida; Brassicales; Brassicaceae.